RNAcentral lists this long non-coding RNA (1290 nucleotides) under Trifolium pratense (red clover). RNAcentral describes it as "long non-coding RNA (TPRA_LNC012850)". The record is from RNAcentral. Lineage: Eukaryota; Viridiplantae; Streptophyta; Magnoliopsida; Fabales; Fabaceae.
AUUAUGUGCCUAUUUGAUUAUUUGAUGCUAGUAUGCUUAUCGACACAAGUCAUGUCAUUGUAUGAUUAUACAUCUUGUUAUUUAGAACUAGAAAGUGAGGUUUGCACUAUGUCAUAGUUAUGAUAAGGCUUUCAUGAAGAUGAGAUGCAUUAGCUAUGUUAUGCUUAAAACAGUGUAGUCUUGUACAAAAAAUAUUCUGGCUGACUUUUUCCUUUAUUUUGUUUCCAUGUUGACAUGUUUCUCAAUACUUAGAAUUUGGGUUGGGAUUAUCUCAACUCUACAAAACUCGUUUGUAAGGUGAGGAAGAGUGUCUCCCACUUAUAAACACAUUUUUUGGCCAUUUCACACCAAAUCUGAAACUCUCAAUAUACACCUUUCAUGACUAACAUUGGACAUCUGGAGUGUGUCCCGGUAACAGAUGACCCAACAGAUCUGAGAUAGACUCUUAUAUCAUCUUAGAAUUUGGGUUGGAUCUAUCUCUACUGCACAAAAUCGGCUUGUAUCGUAACAGAUGCCUCCCACAUAUAAAUACUUUUUUGUGUCAUAUCAUAUCUAAUGUAUGACUCUCAUAAAUACUAGUCUAGUUGUUGGCAUAUUCAGCUUGAAUUAGCCUCUAUUGCUAUGACUUAUUUGCCAUAGGGAUAAGUUUGUUGGAAAUGAAAGUGUUCACCAUAAAUAUGUACAUAAGAGUCAAUGAAUAUAUAACUACCUCAACUCUGUGUUCUGAGAAAUGAUGUAGGCUUGUUUGAUUGGGGUUGUAUCUUACUCGGAGAAGGUCGUGCCAGAACAUUGUGGUUACACAGAAUGACAAUGCCUUGCACCUUUUUUUGGACACUUAGCACCUUAUGUAUUUUUGGUUGUAUCCUAAUGUCAUGCACCUUACUGUACCUACAUUUAGUUUAGAGUUCAACUUUGACUUAUGUUUUGCUUUGUCUCUAUGCAGUAUCUUCACAAAGAUGAAUACUUGAAAGGGAUCAAAAUAUAUGAGUCAAUUAUUAAAGCAUAUGCAUCCUUUGAUGAACAUGGAAGUGAUGGAAGGAGCAAAGAUGAGUUAUGAGCAAGUGGUGUAGUACUCUGGCUUUGUCGGCAGUUUUAGUUUUUGAUAUGCAACAAUAAAGAGGAUGCUUGAUAUGUAAAAUAAAGAGGAAAUGAACUGUCUAGUUUAACUUUGGCAAAAGCAACUUAGCUUUGUAUGAAUGUUUUCAUAACUAAAUUUUCUGUGCAUAAUUUUAUAAUGGAAAACUAGUCUAUUAUCAUGGUGGCGAAGUAAAAGAUGGAACAUAUUUGCAA